Molecule: ribosomal RNA, 306 nt
Filed under: Triticum aestivum (bread wheat)
Lineage: Eukaryota; Viridiplantae; Streptophyta; Magnoliopsida; Poales; Poaceae
Description: partial small subunit ribosomal RNA
Source: RNAcentral
AUGCGAGCAAACGGCUCCAAAUGGAGUCUCUCUACGGUCUAUGGACCGCAAUCUGAUCAGGAGAAGUUUCUUUUUAUCAAUGAGCUCAAGAGCAUCAAGCCUUCUACUCUUCCCUGUUGGCUUGUGAUUGGCGAUUUCAACCUGUUGUAUCGGGCAUCAGACAAGAGCAACUCCAAUAUCAACCGACGCCUGCUGAACUCCUUCCGAGCUGUCGUAAACUCACUGGAGCUGUCUGAAUUGCGCCUUCAUGGCUGGCGUUUCACCUGGACCAGCAGCUGCCAGCAACAAACUAGAACAAAGAUCGAC